ACGGGUGAGUAAUGUCUGGGAAACUGCCUGAUGGAGGGGGAUAACUACUGGAAACGGUAGCUAAUACCGCAUAAUGUCGCAAGACCAAAGAGGGGGACCUUCGGGCCUCUUGCCAUCGGAUGUGCCCAGAUGGGAUUAGCUUGUUGGUGGGGUAACGGCUCACCAAGGCGACGAUCCCUAGCUGGUCUGAGAGGAUGACCAGCCACACUGGAACUGAGACACGGUCCAGACUCCUACGGGAGGCAGCAUG
RNAcentral lists this ribosomal RNA (250 nucleotides) under uncultured bacterium. RNAcentral describes it as "partial 16S ribosomal RNA". It matches the Rfam family "Bacterial small subunit ribosomal RNA", at positions 102 to 353 of the family's 1533-position model. The record is from RNAcentral.